AACUUUUGACAUGUCCCGUAUGGAUUUCAGAGAUGAGAUCCUUCAGUUCGGCUGGCGGGAACACAGGUGCUGCAUGGCUGUCGUCAGCUCGUGUCGUGAGAUGUUGGGUUAAGUCCCGCAACGAGCGCAACCCUCGCCCUUAGUUGCCAUCAUUUAGUUGGGCACUCUAAGGGGACUGCCGGUGAUAAGCCGGAGGAAGGUGGGGAUGACGUCAAGUCCUCAUGGCCCUUACAGGUUGGGCUACACACGUGCUACAAUGGCGGUGACAGAGGGACGCAAAAGGGCAACCUUUCGCAAAUCUCAAAAAGCCGUCUCAGUUCGGAUUGGGGUCUGCAACUCGACCCCAUGAAGUUGGAAUCGCUAGUAAUCGCAGAUCAGCACGCUGCGGUGAAUACGUUCCCGGGCC
This 406-nucleotide ribosomal RNA is filed under the name uncultured bacterium. RNAcentral's name for it is "bacterial SSU rRNA". It matches the Rfam family "Bacterial small subunit ribosomal RNA", at positions 976 to 1380 of the family's 1533-position model. The record is from RNAcentral.